RNAcentral lists this long non-coding RNA (288 nucleotides) under Ananas comosus (pineapple). RNAcentral's name for it is "long non-coding RNA (ACOM_LNC023173)". Lineage: Eukaryota; Viridiplantae; Streptophyta; Magnoliopsida; Poales; Bromeliaceae. The record is from RNAcentral.
AAUUUUAAAUUUUUAUUUUAAUUUUGGAUUCAAACUUUAAAUUUAAAUUCAAAUUUUAAAUUAUUUUGAAAUAAAAUUUAAUAAAAAUUAUUAUUUGUAAACAAUAAAAUAAAUUUACCAAACAGAUUUACAAAAUUAUUUUAGAAAAAUCGCUUUUUCAUGGAAACUCAACCAAUUACAUUACAGCUUUUAACCAAAAUUAAUUCCCUUAACCAAAAUUAAUUCCCUCUCCAAACCAAAAUCAAUUAUGUAGAAAUUAUUUCUAACCAAAAGCUAAGCCAAACAGGC